GAUGAACGCUGGCGGCGUGCCUAAUACAUGCAAGUCGAGCGAACGGACGAGAAGCUUGCUUUUCUGAUGUUAGCGGCGGACGGGUGAGUAACACGUGGAUAACCUACCUAUAAGACUGGGAUAACUUCGGGAAACCGGAGCUAAUACCGGAUAAUAUUUUGAACCGCAUGGUUCAAAAGUGAAAGACGGUCUUGCUGUCACUUAUAGAUGGAUCCGCGCUGCAUUAGCUAGUUGGUAAGGUAACGGCUUACCAAGGCAACGAUGCAUAGCCGACCUGAGAGGGUGAUCGGCCACACUGGAACUGAGACACGGUCCAGACUCCUACGGGAGGCAGCAGUAGGGAAUCUUCCGCAAUGGGCGAAAGCCCGACGGAGCAACGCCGCGUGAGUGAUGAAGGUCCUCGGAUCGUAAAACUCUGUUAUUAGGGAAGAACAUAUGUGUAAGUAACUGUGCACAUCUUGACGGUACCUAAUCAGAAAGCCACGGCUAACUACGUG
This 497-nucleotide ribosomal RNA is filed under the name uncultured bacterium. Its description in RNAcentral is "partial 16S ribosomal RNA". It matches the Rfam family "Bacterial small subunit ribosomal RNA", at positions 28 to 507 of the family's 1533-position model. The record is from RNAcentral.